RNAcentral lists this ribosomal RNA (253 nucleotides) under uncultured bacterium. RNAcentral describes it as "partial 16S ribosomal RNA". It matches the Rfam family "Bacterial small subunit ribosomal RNA", at positions 524 to 776 of the family's 1533-position model. The record is from RNAcentral.
UACAGAGGGUGCGAGCGUUAAUCGGAAUGACUGGGCGUAAAGGGUGCGUAGGUGGUUGAUUAAGUUAGCUGUGAAAGCCCUGGGCUUAACCUGGGAAUGGCAUCUAAAACUGAUGAACUAGAGUAGGUGAGAGGAGUGUGGAAUUUCCGGUGUAGCGGUGAAAUGCGUAGAGAUCGGAAAGAACACCAGUGGCGAAGGCGGCACUCUGGCACCAUACUGACACUGAGGCACGAAGGCGUGGGGAGCAAACAGG